CAAGGGGUAGCAAUACCCCCUAGAGCGGCGGACUGGUGAGUAACGCGUGGGUGAUCUGCCCUUGGGAUGGGGAUAGCCAGUAGAAAUACUGGGUAAUACCGAAUACGUUCGCUCCUUCGGUGGAGCGAGGAAAAGCGCUUCGGCGCUGCCCGAGGAUGAGCCCGCGUCCCAUUAGCUAGUUGGCGAUUUAACCGCCCACCAAUGCGAAAAUGGGUAGCCGGCCUGAGAGGGUGUACGGCCACACUUAAUCCCUUAUACGNCGAAGACUCCUACNGUUGGUCCAUGUGGGAAGUUCUAGAAAUCUCCUGCAAAU
This 313-nucleotide small RNA is filed under the name uncultured bacterium. RNAcentral's name for it is "bacterial SSU rRNA". The stretch from base 1 to 279 matches the Rfam family "Bacterial small subunit ribosomal RNA", at positions 70 to 348 of the family's 1533-position model. The record is from RNAcentral.